GUUCGAUCCUGGCUCAGGUUGAACGCUGGCGGUCUUUACAUGCAAGAUCGAACGGCAGCACGGACUUCGGUCUGGUGGCGAGUGGCGAACGGGUGAGUAUCGGAACGUACCUGCCCUAGUAUGAUAACUACGCGGCGUAGCUAAUCACCGCCUUCGGGGAAAGCGGGGGACCUUCGGGCCUCGCACUAUUGACAGCAUUCUCGGAUUGGCUAGUUGGUGGGGUAACGGCUCACCAAGGCGACGAUCCGUAGCUGGUUUGAGAGGACGACCAGCCACUGGGACUGAGACACGGCCCAGACUCCUGCAGGAGGCAGCAGUGGGGAAUUUGGACAAUGGGGGAAACCCUAGUCCAGCCAUCCCGCGUGUGCGAUGAAGGCCUUCAGGUUUGUAAAGCACUUUUGGCGAUAAUACCCGUGCAACUGAUAAGUACCUGCAGAAUAAGCACCGGCUAACUACGUGCCAGCAGCCGCGGUAAUACGUAGGGUGCAAGCGUUAAUCAGGAAUUACUGGGCGUAAAGCGUGCGCAGGCGGUUCGGAAAGAAAGAUGUGAAAUCCCAGAGCUUAACUGGAACUGCAUUUUUAACACCGAGCUAGAGUGUCAGAGGAGGUGGAAUUCCGCGUGUAGCAGUGAAAUGCGUAGAUAUGCCGGAGGAAUACCGAUGGCGAAGGCAGCCUCUGGGACAACACACUGACGCUCAUGGGCGAAAGCAUGCAGAAGACAUGAUAAGUUAGAAUGCCCUGGUAGUCCACGCCCCGGCAGUGUCAACUAGCUGUUGGAACCUUGGCCCAUAGUAGCGCAGCUAACGCGUGAAGUUGACGCCUGGGGAAGUACGGUCGCAAGAUUAAAACUCGAAGGAAUUGACGGGGACCGCACAAGCGGUGGAUGAUGUGGAUUAAUUCGAUGCAACAUAAAACAUACCUGCCCUUGACAUGUGGAAUCCGAAGAAGAUUUGGGAGUGCUGUGAAGAGGGCCGGAACACAGGUGCUGCAUGGCUGUCGUCAGCUCGUGUCGUGAGAUGUUGGGUUAAGUCCCGCAACAAGCGGCCUUGUCAUUAGUUGCUACGAAAGGGCACUCUAAUGAGACUGCCGUUAAACCGGAGGAAGGUGGGGAUGACCGUCGGAUAUAUGGCCAUAUGGUGGGGCUUCACACACGUCAUACAAUGGUCGGGACAGAGGGUCGCCAAGCCCGCGAGGAGCCAAUCCCGAAACCCGAUCGUAGUCCGGAUCGCAGUCCUGGCACUCGACUGCGUGAAGUCGGAAUCGCUAGUAAUCGCGGAUCAGCAUGUCGCGGUGAAUACGUUCCCGGGUCUUGUACACACCGCCCGUCACACCAUGAAGUGGGUUUACUACAGAAGUAGUUAGCCUAACCGUAAGGAGGGCGAUUACCACGGUAGGAUUCAUGACUGGGGUGAAGUCGUAACAAGGUAG
Molecule: ribosomal RNA, 1428 nt
Filed under: uncultured Bordetella sp.
Lineage: Bacteria; Pseudomonadati; Pseudomonadota; Betaproteobacteria; Burkholderiales; Alcaligenaceae
Description: partial 16S-23S ribosomal RNA intergenic spacer
Rfam family: Bacterial small subunit ribosomal RNA
Source: RNAcentral